RNAcentral lists this ribosomal RNA (368 nucleotides) under uncultured organism. RNAcentral's name for it is "bacterial SSU rRNA". It matches the Rfam family "Bacterial small subunit ribosomal RNA", at positions 526 to 896 of the family's 1533-position model. The record is from RNAcentral.
CGGAGGGUGCAAGCGUUAUCCGGAUUUACUGGGUUUAAAGGGUGCGUAGGUGGGUCUGUAAGUCAGUGGUGAAAUCUCCGAGCUUAACUCGGAAACUGCCAUUGAUACUAUAGGUCUUGAAUUAUCUGGAGGUGAGCGGAAUAUGUCAUGUAGCGGUGAAAUGCUUAGAUAUGACAUAGAACACCAAUUGCGAAGGCAGCUCACUACGGAUAUAUUGACACUGAGGCACGAAAGCGUGGGGAUCAAACAGGAUUAGAUACCCUGGUAGUCCACGCCCUAAACGAUGGAUACUCGACAUACGCGAUACACUGUGUGUGUCUGAGCGAAAGCAUUAAGUAUCCCACCUGGAAAGUACGAUCGCAAGAUUG